AGUGAACGCUGGCGGUAGGCCUAACACAUGCAAGUCGAACGGCAGCACAGUAAGAGCUUGCUCUUACGGGUGGCGAGUGGCGGACGGGUGAGGAAUACAUCGGAAUCUACUUUUUCGUGGGGGAUAACGUAGGGAAACUUACGCUAAUACCGCAUACGACCUACGGGUGAAAGCAGGGGAUCUUCGGACCUUGCGCGAUUGAAUGAGCCGAUGUCGGAUUAGCUAGUUGGCGGGGUAAAGGCCCACCAAGGGGACGAUCCGUAGCUGGUCUGAGAGGAUGAUCAGCCACACUGGAACUGAGACACGGUCCAGACUCCUACGGGAGGCAGCAGUGGGGAAUAUUGGACAAUGGGCGCAAGCCUGAUCCAGCCAUACCGCGUGGGUGAGGAAGGCCUUCGGGUUGUAAAGCCCUUUUGUUGGGAAAGAAAAGCAGCAGGUUAAUACCCCGCUGUUCUGACGGUACCCAAAGAAUAAGCACCGGCUAACUUCGUG
This 492-nucleotide ribosomal RNA is filed under the name uncultured bacterium. RNAcentral's name for it is "partial 16S ribosomal RNA". It matches the Rfam family "Bacterial small subunit ribosomal RNA", at positions 29 to 507 of the family's 1533-position model. The record is from RNAcentral.